AUUUAAAUAGUUUAACAAAAAUGUUGGCUUGUGGUGCCGGAGAUAUAAUUAAUUAUUUUAAAUU
This 64-nucleotide transfer RNA is filed under the name Cherax tenuimanus. RNAcentral's name for it is "tRNA-His". The record is from RNAcentral. Lineage: Eukaryota; Metazoa; Arthropoda; Malacostraca; Decapoda; Parastacidae.